UGGAUGAAGGGCCACAAACCCACAUU
This 26-nucleotide non-coding RNA is filed under the name Homo sapiens (human). Lineage: Eukaryota; Metazoa; Chordata; Mammalia; Primates; Hominidae. The record is from RNAcentral.